CGAAAAAUGUGACGGUAAAUUUUUUUCCAACGCCGAUAAGGAAGUUUCACUUCAAAUAUUAUAAUUUUUUUAAAUUCUCCGGGUCUCUAUUCUAAAUAGCUAUUCUUUAUUCUUUUGAUGAAAGUUUGUCUUCGAUUCAGAGUAAAUACCUGCGUAGAUGCUCUAUAUUACAUCUCUAUUGUACAGUCUUUGGAGGAAAAAACAGCGUAUCAAACGAAAUGAGAUAAUGUCACAGUAAAAUGGUGGUUGUUCAGCGAGACUUCAAGGGGCUUUUUGGAUUUGCUCCGUGAAAGUCCGUUUUGAUAAUAUCAUAUUGCCAGUGCCAACAGCCGUCUUUGUAACGUAGUUUAAAUUGCGUGCGUGAAAUUUAGAACAACUUUACAGUUUUUUUUCUAAACUUGUUUGAUGGCCCUCUUUGCAAAUGAUUUCAAAAUAAAAGAAUAAUUUGCAGCAUUGGAUAAUGCCAUAGCUUGUCGCACUCAUCAGCAUAGCCAUUGUUUUCAAUAAACCGUAUGUCGUAACGA
Long non-coding RNA from Bombyx mori (domestic silkworm), 524 nucleotides. RefSeq lists it as uncharacterized. The transcript is spliced from 2 exons. The record is from RefSeq and is a predicted model, not a curated record. NCBI's taxonomy places the organism in Eukaryota, Metazoa, Arthropoda, Insecta, Lepidoptera, Bombycidae.